This 28-nucleotide non-coding RNA is filed under the name Bombyx mori (domestic silkworm). Lineage: Eukaryota; Metazoa; Arthropoda; Insecta; Lepidoptera; Bombycidae. The record is from RNAcentral.
UAAGUAAAAGAAAGGUAGCUGAGAGAGU